RNAcentral lists this ribosomal RNA (900 nucleotides) under Salinibacterium sp. P27. RNAcentral's name for it is "bacterial SSU rRNA". It matches the Rfam family "Bacterial small subunit ribosomal RNA", at positions 252 to 1156 of the family's 1533-position model. Lineage: Bacteria; Bacillati; Actinomycetota; Actinomycetes; Micrococcales; Microbacteriaceae. The record is from RNAcentral.
GUGAGGUAAUGGCUCACCAAGCCUACGACGGGUAGCCGGCCUGAGAGGGUGACCGGCCACACUGGAACUGAGACACGGUCCAGACUCCUACGGGAGGCAGCAGUGGGGAAUAUUGCACAAUGGGCGCAAGCCUGAUGCAGCAACGCCGCGUGAGGGACGACGGCCUUCGGGUUGUAAACCUCUUUUAGUAGGGAAGAAGCGAAAGUGACGGUACCUGCAGAAAAAGCACCGGCUAACUACGUGCCAGCAGCCGCGGUAAUACGUAGGGUGCAAGCGUUAUCCGGAAUUAUUGGGCGUAAAGAGCUCGUAGGCGGUUUGUCGCGUCUGCUGUGAAAACUGGGGGCUCAACCCCCAGCCUGCAGUGGGUACGGGCAGACUAGAGUGCGGUAGGGGAGAUUGGAAUUCCUGGUGUAGCGGUGGAAUGCGCAGAUAUCAGGAGGAACACCGAUGGCGAAGGCAGAUCUCUGGGCCGUAACUGACGCUGAGGAGCGAAAGCAUGGGGAGCGAACAGGAUUAGAUACCCUGGUAGUCCAUGCCGUAAACGUUGGGAACUAGAUGUAGGGGCCAUUCCACGGUUUCUGUGUCGCAGCUAACGCAUUAAGUUCCCCGCCUGGGGAGUACGGCCGCAAGGCUAAAACUCAAAGGAAUUGACGGGGGCCCGCACAAGCGGCGGAGCAUGCGGGAUUAAUUCGAUGCAACGCGAAGAACCUUACCAAGACUUGACAUAUACGAGAACGGGCUAGAAAUAGUUCACUCUUUGGACACUCGUAAAACAGGUGGUUGCAUGGGUUGUCGUCAGCUCGUGUCGUGAAGAUGUUUGGGGUUAAGUCCCGCAACGAGCGCAACCCUCGUUCUUUGUUGCCAGCACGUAAUGGUGGGAACUCAAAGGAGACUGCCGGG